AGUGAACGCUGGCGGUAGGCCUAACACAUGCAAGUCGAACGGCAGCACAGUAAGAGCUUGCUCUUACGGGUGGCGAGUGGCGGACGGGUGAGGAAUACAUCGGAAUCUACUUUUUCGUGGGGGAUAACGUAGGGAAACUUACGCUAAUACCGCAUACGACCUACGGGUGAAAGCAGGGGAUCUUCGGACCUUGCGCGAUUGAAUGAGCCGAUGUCGGAUUAGCUAGUUGGCGGGGUAAAGGCCCACCAAGGCGACGAUCCGUAGCUGGGCUGAGAGGAUGAUCAGCGACACUGGAACUGAGACACGGUCCAGACUCCUACGGGAGGCAGCAGUGGGGAAUAUUGGAAAAUGGGCGCAAGACUGAUCCAGCCAUACCGCGUGGGUGAAGAAGGCCUUCGGGUGGUAAAGCCCUUUUGUUGGGAAAGAAAAGCAGCAGGUUAAUACCCCGCUGUUCUGACGGUACCCAAAGAAUAAGCACCGGCUAACUUCGU
Molecule: ribosomal RNA, 491 nt
Filed under: uncultured bacterium
Lineage: Bacteria
Description: partial 16S ribosomal RNA
Rfam family: Bacterial small subunit ribosomal RNA
Source: RNAcentral